This 416-nucleotide ribosomal RNA is filed under the name uncultured soil bacterium. RNAcentral describes it as "bacterial SSU rRNA". It matches the Rfam family "Bacterial small subunit ribosomal RNA", at positions 26 to 490 of the family's 1533-position model. The record is from RNAcentral.
AGAACGAACGCUGGCGGCAUGCCUAAUACAUGCAAGUCGAACGAACUCUUCGGUGUUAGUGGCGCACGGGUGCGUAACGCGUGGGAAUCUGCCCUUGGGUUCGGAAUAACAGUUGGAAACGACUGCUAAUACCGGAUGAUGACGAAAGUCCAAAGAUUUAUCGCCCAGGGAUGAGCCCGCGUAGGAUUAGCUAGUUGGUGAGGUAAAGGCUCACCAAGGCGACGAUCCUUAGCUGGUCUGAGAGGAUGAUCAGCCACACUGGGACUGAGACACGGCCCAGACUCCUACGGGAGGCAGCAGUAGGAAUAUUGGACAAUGGGCGCAAGCCUGAUCCAGCAAUGCCGCGUGAGUGAUGAAGGCCUUAGGGUUGUAAAGCUCUUUACCCGAGAUGAUAAUGACAGUAUCGGGAGAAGUAA